Non-coding RNA from Triticum urartu, 115 nucleotides. The record is from Rfam. Lineage: Eukaryota; Viridiplantae; Streptophyta; Magnoliopsida; Poales; Poaceae.
UUAUUACUCCCUCCGUUCGGAAGUACUUGUCGCAGAAAUGGAUGUAUCUAGAUGUAUUUUAGUUCUAGAUACAUCCAUAUCCGAGACAAGUAAUUCCGAACGGAGGGAGAACUAA